GCGCCCGUAGCUCAGUUGGAUAGAGCGCCGGCCUUCGAAGCCGUAGGUCGUAGGUUCGAGCCCUACCGGGCGCGCCA
Molecule: transfer RNA, 77 nt
Filed under: Acidobacteriota bacterium
Lineage: Bacteria; Pseudomonadati; Acidobacteriota
Description: Acidobacteria bacterium (bioreactor metagenome) tRNA-Arg
Rfam family: tRNA
About the family: Transfer RNA (tRNA) molecules are approximately 80 nucleotides in length. Their secondary structure includes four short double-helical elements and three loops (D, anti-codon, and T loops).
Source: RNAcentral